This 221-nucleotide ribosomal RNA is filed under the name uncultured bacterium. Its description in RNAcentral is "partial 16S ribosomal RNA". It matches the Rfam family "Bacterial small subunit ribosomal RNA", at positions 111 to 334 of the family's 1533-position model. The record is from RNAcentral.
UAAUGUAUGGGGAUCUGCCCGAUAGAGGGGGAUAACUACUGGAAACGGUGGCUAAUACCGCAUAAUGUCUACGGACCAAAGCAGGGGCUCUUCGGACCUUUGCACUAUCGGAUGAACCCAUAUGGGAUUAGCUAGUAGGUGGGGUAAAGGCUCACCUAGGCGACGAUCUCUAGCUGGUCUGAGAGGAUGAUCAGCCACACUGGGACUGAGACACGGCCCAG